RNAcentral lists this long non-coding RNA (469 nucleotides) under Homo sapiens (human). RNAcentral's name for it is "HSALNT0324555". Lineage: Eukaryota; Metazoa; Chordata; Mammalia; Primates; Hominidae. The record is from RNAcentral.
GCCGCUGAGGUGUGUCCGCCAGCGACGGCGGAAUCGCUCACUGCGCACCGUCCUGACUCCUCAAUACAAAUACGGGUGUCAGUGACAUGAAAUUUGUCACUGCAGAUAUCCAGAGAGCUGAAAUAAAGGAGUUGCUGGAGUGCUGAAAUGCAGAACCUAGAGCAAUACUGAAGUAUGGACUGGGUCUGAGCUGCUGUACAGCUGUUGAAGGCAGUCUGAGGCACCCUGGAGAGAGACCUGGGCUUUCAGUACCCUUCUCAGGCCCCCAGCCCUCCUAGAGCAUUCCUCAGCGAGAUCUGUCAGCUUGCCAUGCACAGGUUUUGCCUUGUCCCAGAUCCUAGACCAGUGCUAAGUGGCAGCAGCAAGCCCUUACGCACAUUCCUAUUGAGGACAUUCCUUAUUGUAUUUCCUUGCGGACGUCAUAGUGUUACUGGGGGGUCCUUGUUCUUAGAGCUCCCAAGAUGGUGGC